This 465-nucleotide ribosomal RNA is filed under the name Vreelandella stevensii. Its description in RNAcentral is "partial 16S ribosomal RNA". It matches the Rfam family "Bacterial small subunit ribosomal RNA", at positions 338 to 795 of the family's 1533-position model. Lineage: Bacteria; Pseudomonadati; Pseudomonadota; Gammaproteobacteria; Oceanospirillales; Halomonadaceae. The record is from RNAcentral.
CCUACGGGGGGCAGCAGUGGGGAAUAUUGGACAAUGGGCGAAAGCCUGAUCCAGCCAUGCCGCGUGUGUGAAGAAGGCCUUCGGGUGGUAAAGCACUUUCAGUGGGGAAGAAAGCCUUGGGGCUAAUACCCUCGAGGAAGGACAUCACCCACAGAAGAAGCACCGGCUAACUCCGUGCCAGCAGCCGCGGUAAUACGGAGGGUGCGAGCGUUAAUCGGAAUUACUGGGCGUAAAGCGCGCGUAGGCGGUCUGAUAAGCCGGUUGUGAAAGCCCCGGGCUCAACCUGGGAACGGCAUCCGGAACGGGCAGGCUAGAGUGCAGGAGAGGAAGGUAGAAUUCCCGGUGUAGGGGUGACAUGCGUAGAGAUCGGGAGGAAUACCAGUGGCGAAGGCGGCCUUCUGGACUGACACUGACGCGGAGGUGCGAAAGCGUGGGUAGCAAACAGGAUUAGAUACCCGUGUAGUC